This 496-nucleotide ribosomal RNA is filed under the name uncultured bacterium. RNAcentral describes it as "partial 16S ribosomal RNA". It matches the Rfam family "Bacterial small subunit ribosomal RNA", at positions 29 to 507 of the family's 1533-position model. The record is from RNAcentral.
AUGAACGCUGGCGGCGUGCCUCAUACAUGCAAGUCGAGCGCACAGAUGAGGAGCUUGCUCCUCUGACGUUAGCGGCGGACGGGUGAGUAACACGUGGAUAACCUACCUAUAAGACUGGGAUAACUUCGGGAAACCGGAGCUAAUACCGGAUAAUAUAUUGAACCGCAUGGUUCAAUAGUGAAAGACGGUUUUGCUGUCACUUAUAGAUGGAUCCGCGCCGCAUUAGCUAGUUGGUAAGGUAACGGCUUACCAAGGCAACGAUGCGUAGCCGACCUGAGAGGGUGAUCGGCCACACUGGAGCUGAGACACGGUCCAGACUCCUACGGGAGGCAGCAGUAGGGAAUCUUCCGCAAUGGGCGAAAGCCUGACGGAGCAACGCCGCGUGAGUGAUGAAGGUCUUCGGAUCGUAAAACUCUGUUAUUAGGGAAGAACAAAUGUGUAAGUAACUAUGCACGUCUUGACGGUACCUAAUCAGAAAGCCACGGCUAACUACGUG